UGGCUUCUUUUAAUGUCUUGUUUUUAAGGCUUUUGAAUUUUAUAGUAGACUUAGUAAAGCCCUUUAUGAGAAUGUAGAGCAGUAGCUGUAAUUUUAUUCUAUAAUAAUCCCAAUUUUAAAUCCCUUUUUUUUCUGUCUCCUAUCACUUACCUCCUUCACAAGCUCUAUUUGUAUUACUCUUCAAAAUAUUUAUUCUGCUGGUACUGAAGAGAGACAUACUUUGUUGUCAGAAAUUCCAUUACCAGAGGUAGAAAUCAUGUAAGAGACACUGAAAUGUUUUCCAAGAUGUCAGAAAAAGGAAAGGUGAAAAAUUAGACUAUUUCAAGAGUUGGAGCUGAAUCCGAUGUUAAAUAAUGGCAACAGGUGACUUAAAAAGAAGCUUACGGAACCUAGAACAGGUGCUCCGCUUGCUAAAUUAUCCUAAAGAGGUGGACUGUGUAGGUUUGAUAAAGGGAGACCCAGCAGCAUCUUUGCCCAUCAUCAGCUAUUCUUUUACCUCAUACUCACCUUAUGUAACAGAACUUAUAAUGGAAUCCAAUGUAGAGCUCAUAGCAAAAAAUGACUUGCGCUUUAUAGAUGCUGUCUAUAAGCUUCUUCGUGAUCAAUUUAAUUAUAAACCAAUUUUGACAAAAAAGCAGUUUAUCCAAUGUGGGUUUGCAGAAUGGAAAAUCCAAAUUGUUUGUGAUAUUUUGAAUUGUGUGAUGAAAAAGCACAAGGAAUUAAGCAGUCUUCAGAAGAUUCCAUCACAACAAAGAAAGAAAAUCAGUUCUGGUAAGUCAGAACCUCCAUUGAGCAAUGAGAAAAUAUCUGCAGAGGCUGUUGGCGUUGAUAUCAGUGGCAGGUUUAUGACUUCAGGAAAGAAGAAAGCUGUGGUGAUUCGUCACUUGUAUAAUGAAGAUAAGGUUGACAUUUCUGAGGAUACAUUAAGUCCAAUAACAGAUGUUAAUGAAGCAGUUGAUGUGUCUGACUUAAAUGCUACUGAAAUAAAGAUGCCUGAAGUAAAGGUUCCUGAAAUCAAGGCUGAGCAACAGGAUGUAAAUGUUAAUCCUGAGAUUACUGCACUACAGACUAUGCUUGCUGAAUGCCAAGAAAAGCUUAAGAAACUGACUUUGAUAGAGAAAAGGUUAGACUGUUUGGAACAAAAAAUGAAAGGAAAAGUGAUGGUAGAUGAAAACACCUGGACUAAUCUUCUUAGUCGUGUCACUCUUCUUGAAACAGAAAUGCUUUUGUCUAAAAAGAAUGAUGAAUUUAUAGAGUUUAAUGAAGUUAGUGAAGACUACGUUUCUUGUAGAGACAUGGACCUUCUGAAUACUCACAGAAAAAGCAAAGUAGAGAGGCCAGCAAGUAUUCCUCUGUCCUCUGGCUAUAGUACGGCAUCAUCAGGUUCAACUCCCAGAGCCUCUACCGUUAAUUACUGUGGUUUGAAUGAGAUUUCAGAGAAUUUUCCUGCAUGGAGUGCUACAUCCUCUUGUUCCAGUCUCAGCUGGCUGCUCCAUGGGCAUACUUCAUACCUUUCAUCACGGAGCUUUGCUUGGCCUCUCUCCUGCGUGUAAUGUCUGUUUCUUGGAUCCUGUACUUACCUUUUCCUGCUGUACUCUGAUGUUUCAGUGAAGCUCAUCCACGAAGUCCAGAAUUCUGCCUGGAAACCAGCUUCCUCCUCAGCUCCAGCUCUUUUACUGGAAUCCAUGUUCAUAAAUUCUGGGAGUGUGUCAGCUGGUGACUUCAGAGGAAAGGGGAACCACUACGCAUGAGGUAAAAGGAGGAAUGUGUUGUUUUGCUACUGGGAAGGACUGGGGAGGGGAGUGGAAUAAAAGGUAGGAGCAGAGAAGAGACAGGCCAGCAAAAUCAAAAAGCAGGUGCUGCAGAGAAAGAGCCAGGAGAGAAACUUCUGGUGGUGAGUGAUAAAAAUGGACUUGGGGGACAGGACAAUAUAAUAACUGAUGAGCUUUUGACCCCCAUCGCUCCAGUCAUCAGGAAAGUCUAUUGUGCUUAUAAAUGCUUUGUUUCAAUUUUUGGCAAACACAAUAAAGGAGCUGUUUUAUAUCUGGUAGCACCUCAUGUUGACCCCAAUAUAAAUGAGAAACAAGAGCCGAAGAAGCAGAGGAAGUUAGGAGAUAGUAAGCUGUCCAGAAAUUAGCCGACGACUGUGGAAUGGCUCCAGACUUCUGUAGCAAAUGGAAAUAUGAGGUUAAUUCCAGGUUUAUGUAAAUCACCAAGGGUUAGAUGAACUCCCAUAUGGCAUGUUACACCAAUUUAUAAGGACAUCAGAAAAUAGUUCAUAUUGUUUCAAACUUGGCUCCAUAAGUGGGCAAUUAUUUUUAAUAUAUAUCAGGGCUUAGAACAUGAUACCCCAAAAUAUGGCACCUUGGCAUUAGCAGAAAGCUCACUCUCUUGACUUUCUCCAACCUUCUCUCCCCAGGCCAUAAAAAUCAUUCUCUCUCCCUUCAUGUGGAGAAUGAAGACUUUUUGGGACACCUUAUAUCCAGAGAAAAGGAAAGAAGAUACAUACAGCCAGAGCAGAAUCUGAACAAACAGGCCUUGCUAAGUUCCCGCCAGUUUAUUGAUCAUAUCC
Nomascus leucogenys (northern white-cheeked gibbon) is the source of this 2572-nucleotide RNA transcript. It is a transcript of the gene named centrosomal protein 44, with no coding region annotated. The transcript is spliced from 11 exons. The record is from RefSeq and is a predicted model, not a curated record. NCBI's taxonomy places the organism in Eukaryota, Metazoa, Chordata, Mammalia, Primates, Hylobatidae.